This 433-nucleotide ribosomal RNA is filed under the name uncultured bacterium. RNAcentral's name for it is "partial 16S ribosomal RNA". It matches the Rfam family "Bacterial small subunit ribosomal RNA", at positions 29 to 507 of the family's 1533-position model. The record is from RNAcentral.
AGCGAACGCUGGCGGCAGGCCUAACACAUGCAAGUCGAACGGAUCCUUCGGGAUUAGUGGCGGACGGGUGCUUAACACGUGGGAACGUGCCCUUUGGUUCGGAACAACUCAGGGAAACUUGAGCUAAUACCGGAUGUGCCCUUCGGGGGAAAGAUUUAUCGCCAUUGGAGCGGCCCGCGUCUGAUUAGCUAGUUGGUGAGGUAACGGCCCACCAAGGCGACGAUCAGUAGCUGGUCUGAGAGGAUGAUCAGCCACACUGGGACUGAGACACGGCCCAGACUCCUACGGGAGGCAGCAGUGGGGAAUCUUGCGCAAUGGGCGAAAGCCUGACGCAGCCAUGCCGCGUGAAUGAUGAAGGUCUUAGGAUUGUAAAAUUCUUUCAGCGGGGACGAUAAUGACGGUACCCGCAGAAGAAGCUCCGGCUAACUUCGUG